This 253-nucleotide ribosomal RNA is filed under the name uncultured bacterium. RNAcentral describes it as "partial 16S ribosomal RNA". It matches the Rfam family "Bacterial small subunit ribosomal RNA", at positions 524 to 776 of the family's 1533-position model. RNAcentral also lists the same sequence under 1 other name. The record is from RNAcentral.
UACGAAGGGGGCUAGCGUUGUUCGGAUUUACUGGGCGUAAAGCGCACGUAGGCGGACUUUUAAGUCAGGGGUGAAAUCCCAGAGCUCAACUCUGGAACUGCCUUUGAUACUGGAAGUCUUGAGUAUGGAAGAGGUUGGUGGAACUGCGAGUGUAGAGGUGAAAUUCGUAGAUAUUCGCAAGAACACCAGUGGCGAAGGCGGCCAACUGGUCCAUUACUGACGCUGAGGUGCGAAAGCGUGGGGAGCAAACAGG